AUUGAACGCUGGCGGAAUGCUCUACACAUGCAAGUCGAACGGCAGCACGGACCUCGGUCUGGUGGCGAGUGGCGAACGGGUGAGUAAUGUAUCGGAACGUGCCCAGUCGUGGGGGAUAACGUAGUGAAAAUUACGCUAAUACCGCAUACGAUCUAUGGAUGAAAGCGGGGGAUCGCAAGACCUCGCGCGAUUGGAGCGGCCGAUAUCAGAUUAGGUAGUUGGUGGGGUAAAGGCCCACCAAGCCAACGAUCUGUAGCUGGUCUGAGAGGACGACCAGCCACACUGGAACUGAGACACGGUCCGGACUCCUACGGGAGGCAGCAGUGGGGAAUGUUGGACAAUGGGCGAAAGCCUGAUCCAGCCAAUCCGCGUGCAGGAUGAAGGCGCUCGGGUUGUAAACUGCUUUUGUACAGAACGAAAAGGUUUCUACUAAUACUAGGAGCUCAUGACGGUACUGUAAGAAUAAGCACCGGCUAACUACGUGCCAGCCGCAGCCGUAA
Molecule: ribosomal RNA, 500 nt
Filed under: uncultured bacterium
Lineage: Bacteria
Description: partial 16S ribosomal RNA
Rfam family: Bacterial small subunit ribosomal RNA
Source: RNAcentral